Non-coding RNA from Mycena rebaudengoi, 94 nucleotides. Lineage: Eukaryota; Fungi; Basidiomycota; Agaricomycetes; Agaricales; Mycenaceae. The record is from the annotation of a GenBank genome assembly.
GCCUUCGUGGACCAUGGUGGUCGCCUCACCUUUAUACGGUGUUCGUCGUAUGCACAGCAAUGAGGAACCGGGGGUUCGACUCCCCCCGAAGGCA